Athalia rosae (coleseed sawfly) is the source of this 391-nucleotide long non-coding RNA. RefSeq lists it as uncharacterized. Lineage: Eukaryota; Metazoa; Arthropoda; Insecta; Hymenoptera; Athaliidae. The record is from RefSeq and is a predicted model, not a curated record. The transcript has 2 exons.
UCCAAGGCUAUAGGCUUACCGUUUUUUCGGGCUGAAAGGUGAAAUAAUUGCCAGAAUAAUUCCAGGACGCUGAUCCUUUGUAAAAAUGCGCAACGAACACGACGCCGUCGAUCAAAUUGAUCUGACAUCAAAUCCCUACGAUUUGGAUUCUUGAGACCAAAAUACAUAGAAUUAACAUAGAAAUUCUCAUGGAUGAAAUUCUUAACAGAUACUCCGAACAGAUGUUUCUCGACUUGGUGCCUCAUCACGUGCAUGCCUCCAUUCUCGUGUAAUAAAUCAUACUUUUACAGGGUAUGAUGACGACAUCAGCUAGUCGCAUGCCGGGCUGAUCGUACGCAAUCAUAUGUAUUAAUUCCUACUCCUAUUAAUACAUGUACUACAAUCACCACAA